UAGGGAAUCUUCCACAAUGGACGCAAGUCUGAUGGAGCAACGCCGCGUGAGUGAAGAAGGGUUUCGGCUCGUAAAGCUCUGUUGUUAAAGAAGAACGUGGGUAAGAGUAACUGUUUACCCAGUGACGGUAUCUAACCAGAAAGCCACGGCUAACUACGUGCCAA
Molecule: ribosomal RNA, 164 nt
Filed under: uncultured bacterium
Lineage: Bacteria
Description: partial 16S rRNA
Rfam family: Bacterial small subunit ribosomal RNA
Source: RNAcentral